AUUGAACGCUGGCGGCAGGCCUAACACAUGCAAGUCGAACGGUAACAGGAAGAAGCUUGCUUCUUUGCUGACGAGUGGCGGACGGGUGAGUAAUGUCUGGGAAACUGCCUGAUGGAGGGGGAUAACUACUGGAAACGGUAGCUAAUACCGCAUAACGUCGCAAGACCAAAGAGGGGGACCUUCGGGCCUCUUGCCAUCGGAUGUGCCCAGAUGGGAUUAGCUAGUAGGUGGGGUAACGGCUCACCUAGGCGACGAUCCCUAGCUGGUCUGAGAGGAUGACCAGCCACACUGGAACUGAGACACGGUCCAGACUCCUACGGGAGGCAGCAGUGGGGAAUAUUGCACAAUGGGCGCAAGCCUGAUGCAGCCAUGCCGCGUGUAUGAAGAAGGCCUUCGGGUUGUAAAGUACUUUCAGCGGGGAGGAAGGGAGUAAAGUUAAUACCUUGACUCAUUGACGUUACCCGCAGAAGAGGCACCGGCUAACUCCGUG
RNAcentral lists this ribosomal RNA (490 nucleotides) under uncultured bacterium. RNAcentral describes it as "partial 16S ribosomal RNA". It matches the Rfam family "Bacterial small subunit ribosomal RNA", at positions 30 to 507 of the family's 1533-position model. The record is from RNAcentral.